This 392-nucleotide ribosomal RNA is filed under the name uncultured bacterium. RNAcentral describes it as "bacterial SSU rRNA". It matches the Rfam family "Bacterial small subunit ribosomal RNA", at positions 29 to 428 of the family's 1533-position model. The record is from RNAcentral.
AUUGAACGCUGGCGGAAUGCUUUACACAUGCAAGUCGAGCGGCAGCGCGGGGCAACCUGGCGGCGAGCGGCGAACGGGUGAGUAAUGCAUCGGAACAUGUCCAUGUCGUGGGGGAUAGCCCGGCGAAAGCCGGAUUAAUACCGCAUACGCCCGAGAGGGGAAAGUGGGGGACCGCAAGGCCUCACGCGAUUGGGUUGGCCGAUGUCCGAUUAGCUAGUUGGCGGGGUAAGAGCCCACCAAGGCGAUGAUCGGUAGCUGGUCUGAGAGGAUGAUCAGCCACACUGGGACUGAGACACGGCCCAGACUCCUACGGGAGGCAGCAGUGGGGAAUUUUGGACAAUGGGGCAACCCUGAUCCAGCCAUUCCGCGUGAGUGAAGAAGGCCUGGUGUAA